This 374-nucleotide small RNA is filed under the name Vigna angularis var. angularis. Its description in RNAcentral is "Non-protein coding transcript". The record is from RNAcentral. Lineage: Eukaryota; Viridiplantae; Streptophyta; Magnoliopsida; Fabales; Fabaceae.
CAAAAUGUUGGUCCAUUUCAGUCGGGAGUUCAAGAUGUAAAGUUCCAGUUGGCUAUAGAUUCUAUAGAUAUGAUGCUGAAAACCAUGCACUGUAUUAGAGACCAGUUUUCUACCAUGGAUGAGGCACUAAAUGGGCAUUAGCACCAGUAAACUGAAGGAGUUUCUUAGAACUUGUUUUUACAAGGAAUGUUCAGCCGGAAAUUCUGGUUCUGUUGCAUAGAAGCCAAUAGCUUUUAGCUUCAAUUUGUAAGACACCUCUCCGUGCUAGUUCAAUAUCUGAAAAUAACCAUAAAAGCGUGGUGCAAGCAUAGCUGUCUGUGCAGCCCAAGGUUGAAGAAAACUUACUCUCCACUAAUUCUGUUCCUUAUGCUUCU